This 64-nucleotide transfer RNA is filed under the name Mesembrina meridiana. Its description in RNAcentral is "tRNA-Gly". Lineage: Eukaryota; Metazoa; Arthropoda; Insecta; Diptera; Muscidae. The record is from RNAcentral.
AUUUAUAUAGUAUAAAAAGUAUAUUUGACUUCCAAUCAUAUGGUCUAUUAUAAUAGUAUAAAUA